AAUGCUCAAAGGAUAAAUGUUAAAAUUUAAAAAAUAAUUUUAUUCUAAACUCGCAAGGGUAGGUAGUGUGCUACAUGAGGGGCAAGUUUUUCACGAACACUCCGUUCUGACCCAAUGAGUGGAGUUUGAUUGUAAUCCUUGCUACAAGU
Molecule: small nucleolar RNA, 149 nt
Organism: Ictidomys tridecemlineatus (thirteen-lined ground squirrel)
Lineage: Eukaryota; Metazoa; Chordata; Mammalia; Rodentia; Sciuridae
Source: Ensembl